GACGAACGCUGGCGGCGUGCUUAACACAUGCAAGUCGAACGGAAAGGCCCUGCUUUUGUGGGGUGCUCGAGUGGCGAACGGGGGAGUAACACGUGAGUAACCUGUCCUUGACUGUGGGAUAACUUCAGGAAACUGGGGCUAAUACCGGAUAGGAGCUCCUGCUGCAUGGUGGGGGUUGGAAAGAUUCGGCGGUUGGGGAUGGACUCGCGGCUUCUCAGCUUGUUGGUGGGGUAGGGGCUUACCAAGGCUUUGACGGGUAGCCGACCUGAGAGGGGGACCUGCGCCAUUAGGCCUGCGGUACGGACCAGACUCCAAUCGGACGCAAGGGUGGAGAGUAUUACCCAGCGGGGCGGAGCGUGGUAGGACGACGCCGCGUGCGGGAAAACGGGCUUGUGGUUGUAAACAGAUUUCGCCUGAGCCGGGGCGAUAGUGACGGUACCGGGUAAAGAAGCCCCGGCUAACUACGUG
Molecule: ribosomal RNA, 468 nt
Filed under: uncultured bacterium
Lineage: Bacteria
Description: partial 16S ribosomal RNA
Rfam family: Bacterial small subunit ribosomal RNA
Source: RNAcentral